This is a long non-coding RNA of Panicum virgatum (switchgrass), 533 nucleotides long. RefSeq lists it as uncharacterized. The transcript is spliced from 3 exons. The record is from RefSeq and is a predicted model, not a curated record. NCBI's taxonomy places the organism in Eukaryota, Viridiplantae, Streptophyta, Magnoliopsida, Poales, Poaceae.
CAUGAAGUCCUUGAUUUGCCUGUCCAUGUAUGGAUGUUCAGGGAGACCAGUGUUCGUUUUGAUUUUACAAAAUUGGCUUCACUGGAGAAAGUCACCGCUCACAUCUACUGUUUAUAUGCUACACCACGGGAGGUUUCCCAAGUGGAAGCGGCGCUGAGGCGCGCAGUUGACGUUCAUCCCAAUAAUGUCAUCCUUGAAAUGGAAAGGUUUGGUGAAGAAGAAAUGGAUUUUUCGUUUACAGGAGAAAAAGAGGAGUCGACGGAUCAUGAUGCCACAACACAAAACGAGGAGGAUAUUUGCCACCACAGAAAUCAAUCACGGACGGAGAGGAUCUCUGACCAUCAAAUACACUCUUGAUGAGCAAAUACUUCCUGCAACACGCAGGUUUGGUUCUACAUAGGACUUGUGCAACCAUGACGCUGGCUAGAGGAUCUACUAGUUAUUUGUUGACGUGGAGCUUAAUUCUCCACUCCCGCAAAAAAAUGGAAAAGUUAAAAAAAAUAAAACAAAAAGCAAAACAAAAUGUUGCUACA